Molecule: long non-coding RNA, 1801 nt
Organism: Pezoporus flaviventris
Lineage: Eukaryota; Metazoa; Chordata; Aves; Psittaciformes; Psittacidae
Exons: 4
Source: RefSeq, a predicted model, not a curated record
AAGCAACAGCAUUGCCACAAAAACCUUUGUUAGAUUUUUCAUCUUGUCCUGAAAACCUGUAUUAAGCUACCUUGUUGUGGCAGUGUAACCACAUUAUCAUGCAGCUAACGCAGAUAGCUUAGGUCUGCAGUCCUGACUUUGUAGUCCCAGCUGAUCUCUCUGUUGACUUCAAUAUAUCUGGCUAGAUCUGUAUUGUAUUUUAAAACUACCCUUGACACUGGGCUUACAGCCAGAUUUGCUUGCUAUCUAUACUUAAUGCCUGAGAUAGUGUCCCUUGCACUGGCUCUGUAGCAAUUCUGCUGAUACUGCUGGGGUACGUACUGCAGGUACAUACUUUGCACUGCUGAGUUGUGCCAGCUGCAGAGUGGAUUGCCUCAGCGCUCCGUACUUGGCACAGCCACUUCUGUUUGUCUCAUCUGCAGGAGCAUUUUCUUAACACUGCACAAAAUCCUUUCUAAGAGAUAUCUAUAUUUCUGCUGCAGUUUCGUGCAAUGGCAGUCUGUGUAUGAAGUGGUGGAGUCUUUGGGCAUUCUGGAUGUCAAACUGACCCUGAGAUCAGACAACCCAAACAUUGCUCGUGUGUUGCAAAGCCCUCUGAGCCGUCUGUUUCAGGAUCCUAGAAAAAACAAGGCAUGUGAACAAUUUGCUGUGUACAAGAGGGCUAUUCCACCAGGUAUGGGAAUGCUGGUGCGAGUGUGAGGUACAGUUCAGAUGCUUCAUCUCUUGAAAAACUGUAUCUACCUGACUUGGCAUAUCCAAAGAAGGGGUUCUUUGCAUUGACUUUCGAAAUGAGAAGACCGGCCUCACCUAUACAGAGAAGUUGAAAGAAUGUAAACCUGGGAUAUCAUUGCACAUUUCCUGUACUUUACAUUAAUAUUAAUUUGGUACUCAUGAUUUUACAAGACCAGGAACCAGGGUUCCGUAGAUAAGACCCAAAAAUAACAACUGUUUCUACUGCUUUACAGUUCCUGUGGUCACCUCUACAUGCAAAGGGACCAUACAGACACACUACCAUAUUGUCUACUCAAAUUCCUAGUCUUCUAUAUUUCUUCCUGAUGACCCAUCCUUGUUCUCCCAGAAAUGUCAUCUAUCAAUUAUAAGUUCACUAGUAGGUUUACUAACCUCUCAAAGUACACCCUUCAUAUUAAUAUUACGUCCCACUCACCAAACCUUACUGAAUUUGGAGUGCUGAGUCUGAACUUCAUCCUACUGAAAAAACAAAAACAGGUAUUCAACUCAGGCAUUAUAUCCCUGAGUAGUCUCCUUUCUGAAGUUCUGAGAACAAGCCUUAAGACCUUUCAUUGAUGUGAUACAGCCUCAUUGCUUUCUUCUUAGAGUAAAAUAUAAUAGUCUUAAUUGUUUUUCUCAAAAAUAGGGAUAGAUGGGGCUAGAAUUAUCCUGUCAUGGAUGUAGAGUACCUGGGUAUCAGUUUGCUGAAAGUGGAAUAGUACAAACUUCAUACCUUUUUGGAAGCACAUUCUGAACAAUGAAGUUGAAGACUUAUGUUUCUUUGUAUCAGAAACAAAAAUUGUAAAUAUGAAAACAUGUAAAAAUAAAAAAGCAUGCAAAAGUAUGCAGAAUUUUUACUUUAAGACUGCCUCCUCAUAAAAGAAUAUGUGCCUUUUUCCCAUAAAUUGGUAGUGUUUAAGAUGAAACCAUUUAGUUCACUGGUAGUGUCACUGCAGCUAUGAUGCUCUGAAGAUAAAGGGCAUUGGUGCUGAUUGGUAUAAUUGGAAAAUCAGACCAGCUGUCUAAUUAGAGAAUGUGUUCCCCUCACAGGCUAGUCCGUCAUCCCUACAGA